This 386-nucleotide ribosomal RNA is filed under the name uncultured bacterium. RNAcentral's name for it is "bacterial SSU rRNA". It matches the Rfam family "Bacterial small subunit ribosomal RNA", at positions 28 to 416 of the family's 1533-position model. The record is from RNAcentral.
AUUGAACGCUGGCGGCAUGCUUUACACAUGCAAGUCGAGCGGCAGCGCGGGGGCAACUCUGGCGGCGAGCGGCGAACGGGUGAGGAAUACAUCGGAACGUACCCCGGAGUGGGGGAUAACGCCGCGAAAGCGGCGCUAAUACCGCAUAUGCUCUGCGGAGGAAAGUGGGGGACUCGCAAGGGCCUCACGCUCUGGGCGCGGCCGAUGUCCGAUUAGCUAGUUGGGAGGUAAUGGCUCACCAAGGCGACGAUCGGUAGCUGGUCUGAGAGGACGACCAGCCACACGGGAACUGAGACACGGUCCCGACUCCUACGGGAGGCAGCAGUGGGGAAUUUUCCGCAAUGGGCGAAAGCCUGACGGAGUGACGCCGCGUGGGGACGAAGGCC